This 466-nucleotide ribosomal RNA is filed under the name uncultured bacterium. RNAcentral's name for it is "partial 16S ribosomal RNA". It matches the Rfam family "Bacterial small subunit ribosomal RNA", at positions 29 to 507 of the family's 1533-position model. The record is from RNAcentral.
ACGCACGCUGGCGGCGUGCUUAACCCAUGCAAGUCGAACGGAAAGGCCUCUUUCGGGGGGUACUCGAGUGGCGAACGGGUGAGUAACACGUGAGUAACCUGCCCUUGACUUUGGGAUAACUUCAGGAAACUGGGGCUAAUACCGGAUAGGAGCUCCUGCUGCAUGGUGGGGGUUGGAAAGUUUCGGCGGUUGGGGAUGGACUCGCGGCUUAUCAGCUUGUUGGUGGGGUAGUGGCUUACCAAGGCUUUGACGGGUAGCCGGCCUGAGAGGGUGACCGGCCACAUUGGGACUGAGAUACGGCCCAGACUCCUACGGGAGGCAGCAGUGGGGAAUAUUGCACAAUGGGUGGAAGCCUGAUGCAGCAACGCCGUGUGCGGGAUGACGGCCUUCGGGUUGUAAACCGCUUUCGCUCAUGACGAAGCUUUGUGUGACGGUAGUGGGUAAAGAAGCACCGGCUAACUACGUG